This 495-nucleotide ribosomal RNA is filed under the name uncultured bacterium. RNAcentral describes it as "partial 16S ribosomal RNA". It matches the Rfam family "Bacterial small subunit ribosomal RNA", at positions 28 to 507 of the family's 1533-position model. The record is from RNAcentral.
GACGAACGCUGGCGGCGUGCCUAAUACAUGCAAGUAGAACGCUGAAGGAGGAGCUUGCUUCUCUGGAUGAGUUGCGAACGGGUGAGUAACGCGUAGGUAACCUGCCUGGUAGCGGGGGAUAACUAUUGGAAACGAUAGCUAAUACCGCAUAAGAGUAGAUGUCGCAUGACAUUUGCUUAAAAGGUGCAAUUGCAUCACUACCAGAUGGACCUGCGUUGUAUUAGCUAGUUGGUGAGGUAACGGCUCACCAAGGCAACGAUACAUAGCCGACCUGAGAGGGUGAUCGGCCACACUGGGACUGAGACACGGCCCAGACUCCUACGGGAGGCAGCAGUAGGGAAUCUUCGGCAAUGGACGGAAGUCUGACCGAGCAACGCCGCGUGAGCGAAGAAGGUUGUCGGAUCGUAAAGCUCUGUUGUAAGAGAAGAACGAGUGUGAGAGUGGAAAGUUCACACUGUGACGGUAUCUUACCAGAAAGGGACGGCUAACUACGUG